This 72-nucleotide transfer RNA is filed under the name Equus caballus (horse). It matches the Rfam family "tRNA". Rfam says of the family: Transfer RNA (tRNA) molecules are approximately 80 nucleotides in length. Their secondary structure includes four short double-helical elements and three loops (D, anti-codon, and T loops). The record is from Rfam by way of RNAcentral. Lineage: Eukaryota; Metazoa; Chordata; Mammalia; Perissodactyla; Equidae.
GCCCUGGUAGUCUAGUGGUUAAGAUUCUGCGUUUUCACUGCUGCGGCCCAGGUUUAUUUCCUGGUCAGGGAA